RNAcentral lists this ribosomal RNA (460 nucleotides) under uncultured bacterium. RNAcentral describes it as "partial 16S ribosomal RNA". It matches the Rfam family "Bacterial small subunit ribosomal RNA", at positions 338 to 795 of the family's 1533-position model. The record is from RNAcentral.
CCUACGGGAGGCAGCAGUGAGGAAUAUUGGUCAAUGGACGUAAGUCUGAACCAGCCAAGUCGCGUGAAGGAUGACUGCCCUAUGGGUCGUAAACCUCUUUUAUAUGGGAAUAAAAUGCUCGACGUGUGGGGUUUUGUAUGUACCAUAUGAAUAAGGAUCGGCUAACUCCGUGCCAGCAGCCGCGGUAAUACGGAGGAUCCGAGCGUUAUCCGGAUUUAUUGGGUUUAAAGGGUGCGUAGGCGGAUUUUUAAGUCAGCGGUGAAAGUUUGCGGCUCAACCAUAAAAUUGCAGUUGAAACUGGCAGUCUUGAGUAUAUUAGAGGCAGGCGGAAUGCGUGGUGUAGCGGUGAAAUGCUUAGAUAUCACGAAGAACCCCGAUUGCGAAGGCAGCUCGCUGGGCUGCGACUGACGCUGAGGCUCGAAAGUGUGGGGAUCAAACAGGAUUAGAUACCCGAGUAGUC